Molecule: ribosomal RNA, 434 nt
Filed under: Glyptapanteles sp. 2 SY-2020
Lineage: Eukaryota; Metazoa; Arthropoda; Insecta; Hymenoptera; Braconidae
Description: partial large subunit ribosomal RNA
Source: RNAcentral
UCACCUGUUUAUCAAAAACAUGUCUUAUUGAUAUUAAUUUUAAGUCAAAUCUGCUCAAUGAAUUUUUAAUUUAAAUAGCUGCAGUAUAUAUAACUGUACAAAGGUAGCAUAAUAAUUAGUUUUUUAAUUAAAAACUAGAAUGAAUGAUUUAAUGAAAUAUAAGCUAUAUCAAAUUUAAUAAAUAAAUUUAUUUUUUAAAUAAAAAAAAUUAAAUUUAAUUUAAAGACGAGAAGACCCUAAGAAUUUUUAUAAAUUUUAAUUUUUAAAUAUAAAUUAUUUUAAUUGGGGAAAUUUUAAAAUUUAAUUAAUUUUUAAUUAAUUUAAACAUAAAUUUUUGAAUAAUUAUUUUUUUAAAAAAAAAAAUAAAAUUACCUUAGGGAUAACAGCAUAAUUUUUUUUAAAAGUUCAUAUUUAUAAAAAAGUUUAUGACCUCG